RNAcentral lists this small RNA (21 nucleotides) under Arabidopsis thaliana (thale cress). RNAcentral's name for it is "Ath_wt_07129". Lineage: Eukaryota; Viridiplantae; Streptophyta; Magnoliopsida; Brassicales; Brassicaceae. The record is from RNAcentral.
CCCUCGCGGGUGCACCGCCGA